This is a long non-coding RNA of Branchiostoma floridae (Florida lancelet), 118 nucleotides long. RefSeq lists it as uncharacterized. The record is from RefSeq and is a predicted model, not a curated record. Lineage: Eukaryota; Metazoa; Chordata; Leptocardii; Amphioxiformes; Branchiostomatidae. The transcript is spliced from 2 exons.
GUGGAGAGAGCUGUUAGUCCAUCACAAUCAUCACUGCCAGCGAAACAGGAUGUGUACAAAAUGGUUGUUGGCAGUCUUAUGACCAGAUAUUUGCUUCGCAAGGAAAGGAGUCGGGAAU